GAUGAACGCUAGCGGCAGGCUUAAUACAUGCAAGUCGAACGGGAUUCGGGGUAGCAAUACUUUGAUGAGAGUGGCGCACGGGUGCGUAACGCGUAUGCAACCUACCUUUAACAGGUGAAUAGCCCCGAGAAAUCGGGAUUAAUACACCGUAACAUUGCGCUGUGGCAUCACAGUGCAAUUAAAGAUUUAUCGGUUAAAGAUGGGCAUGCGUGACAUUAGCUAGUUGGUGAGGUAACGGCUCACCAAGGCAACGAUGUCUAGGGGUCCUGAGAGGGUUAUCCCCCACACUGGUACUGAGACACGGACCAGACUCCUACGGGAGGCAGCAGUAAGGAAUAUUGGUCAAUGGGCGCAAGCCUGAACCAGCCAUGCCGCGUGCAGGAAGACGGCCCUAAUGGGGGUUUGUAAAACUGCUUUUGUCAGGGAAUAAACCUGUCUACGAGUAGACAGCUGAAGGUACCUGAAGAAUAAGCAAUCGGCUAACUCCGUGCCAGCAG
Molecule: ribosomal RNA, 497 nt
Filed under: uncultured bacterium
Lineage: Bacteria
Description: bacterial SSU rRNA
Rfam family: Bacterial small subunit ribosomal RNA
Source: RNAcentral